AGUAGCGGCGAGUGAAGCGGCAAUAGCUCAAAUUUGAAAUCUGGCACUUUCAGUGUCCGAGUUGUAAUUUGAAGAAGGUAUCUUUGGGUCUAGCUCUUGUCUAUGUUUCUUGGAACAGAACGUCACAGAGGGUGAGAAUCCCGUGCGAUGAGAUGUCUAGAUCUAUGUAAAGUUCCUUCGAAGAGUCGAGUUGUUUGGGAAUGCAGCUCUAAGUGGGUGGUAAAUUCCAUCUAAAGCUAAAUAUUGGCGAGAGACCGAUAGCGAACAAGUACAGUGAUGGAAAGAUGAAAAGAACUUUGAAAAGAGAGUGAAAAAGUACGUGAAAUUGUUGAAAGGGAAGGGCUUGAGAUCAGACUUGGUAUUUUGUAUGUUACUCUCUCGGGGGUGGCCUCUACAGUUUACCGGGCCAGCAUCAGUUUGAGCGGUAGGAGAAUUGCGUAGGAAUGUGGCUCGGCCUCGGUCGAGUGUUAUAGCCUUCGUCGAUACUGCCAGCUUAGACUGAGGACUGCG
RNAcentral lists this ribosomal RNA (510 nucleotides) under Lodderomyces elongisporus. Its description in RNAcentral is "LSU rRNA". It matches the Rfam family "Eukaryotic large subunit ribosomal RNA", at positions 82 to 599 of the family's 3401-position model. The record is from RNAcentral. Lineage: Eukaryota; Fungi; Ascomycota; Pichiomycetes; Serinales; Debaryomycetaceae.